This is a non-coding RNA of Pseudogymnoascus pannorum, 72 nucleotides long. NCBI's taxonomy places the organism in Eukaryota, Fungi, Ascomycota, Leotiomycetes, Thelebolales, Thelebolaceae. The record is from Rfam.
GGCCUUCUAGUAUAAUAGUAGCACUUCUAGUUCUAGACUAGGAGGUUGUAGGUUCAACUCCUACUUAGGCCU